UCAUGCACCGCCAUCUUUAAAUAUUCAAACCGAUUCUUGCUUGAAAAAUUAAUAAAAAGUGAUAUAAACACACAAUCAAACUUUGUGGACAAUAUUAGUCUUCUUACCUACAUCAAACGUAUACUUCCUUUCGGAAUUUCUUUUCCAAACAUUACAAUCAAUUUGUGGAAGCAGUUGAUACCUCCAAGCAUGGCCACUAGUUUUCAAACCUAUAUUGACCGUGAAAAUUUUGGAUGCUCAGUCACGAAAAACGGCGUCUCGAAAUCCAUCCCAGGUCAAAAGGGGCUAUCGACAAAGAAAUCUUAUGUACCAACACCAAGAAAAGCACUGGGUGAUCUCCAAAACAUACAACAAGGAAGUGUGAGAAGGUUUCAAACACCAAAACCAUCAAAAGUCCGAGUGUUUGAUGAAACACCCAAGACGAAAACUUCUGUAAAGUCGAAAAAGGCAAGCUUAAAUGGAUUUUCACAAACCGCAAGUGUUACCAAGCACUCGGUUAAAAACUGUUCCUGACUUUGAAAAAAUGAUUCCGUUUGUUGACAAAGAGAAUGAUCUUCCAAGACCGGAGUUGAUCACAAAGCUGUUGACACAGAAGGCUGUCCUUGAUCCAGUCUCUUUAUCACAAAUGGAACACCACCAAUGGAUGAGAAGAUACCAAAAUCAAAGAUCUCUUUUGACUAUCUGGAAGAACCAUUUUUGAUGACACAAUUGCCAACAUCAUUGGCUUCGAUGAAACCCCACAAUUGAUUGAAAUUGAGCCAAUCUCUGGUCUAGAUUAUUUACCACCUUUGGAAGAAUUUGAUACCUAUUAUUUAGUGAAAAGGCAACUCGAUGGAACAAUGUUAUUCACCAGAAGAUUCAAACUAUAAAAUAGCAACAUCUACAUGAAGUAGUUAUAUAUAGGUUUUGUUAUAUGUUGCUGACAGUAUUUGCAUCACUUAUAUGCUAUUUACGCACUUGUUUAUAAUUUUUCUUAAUGAAAGACUACGUUUGUAAAUAAAUUCUUUGAAGACCUUAAACUUUAUACACGCAAUUGAUAAAAACUGUGUACACGAACACCAAGGAGCAUCAUUUGAAAA
Xenia sp. Carnegie-2017 is the source of this 1079-nucleotide long non-coding RNA. RefSeq lists it as uncharacterized. The transcript has 4 exons. The record is from RefSeq and is a predicted model, not a curated record. NCBI's taxonomy places the organism in Eukaryota, Metazoa, Cnidaria, Anthozoa, Malacalcyonacea, Xeniidae.